UUUUCUUCUAACGAUCAAAAAAUAAUUCUCAAAAUUCCUACCAAACGGGCCCUAAUAGGGGCAAAGGGGGUAUAUGUCCUGCUAUAAGAAUACGUAUUUCGCAGCUCCCCACACUCCCGUUUUACUGAUUUUGCCCUUUUCGCUUCCAAGUAGCCGGCCAUGGUUUCUCCGUGAGAUCUUUCGCCGGAGGUGGAUUUUCCUGGUCUCAGUUCAUAAUGAGUGCUGGUGCUCCAUGAUUUCUCUCCAUUUCUCUGCGGCUCGUUCGAUCGUUUUUCACUGAGGUGAGAGUGUUCAAGUUUUUCUAUAUGUACUUUCUUUAUACAAUAAACUAGUAUUCAGAUGUUUAAUUGAUUUUUGGGCGUUUAAUUUGAAUGCAUGUGUCUGCGCUUGUCUGUGACCUUUUUGACUCGGUCGUACCGAGUCGACUCGGGUAAGCAAAAGGAACGUUCAUCUUUUUC
This 458-nucleotide long non-coding RNA is filed under the name Olea europaea subsp. europaea. Lineage: Eukaryota; Viridiplantae; Streptophyta; Magnoliopsida; Lamiales; Oleaceae. The record is from RNAcentral.